This 426-nucleotide ribosomal RNA is filed under the name uncultured bacterium. Its description in RNAcentral is "partial 16S ribosomal RNA". It matches the Rfam family "Bacterial small subunit ribosomal RNA", at positions 354 to 796 of the family's 1533-position model. The record is from RNAcentral.
GUGAGGAAUUUUUCGCAAUGGGCGAAAGCCUGACGGAGCAAUGCCGCGUGAAGGAUGAAGGCCUAUGGGUUGUAAACUUCUUUUCUCAGAAAAGAAUUAUGACGGUAUCUGAGGAAUAAGCAUCGGCUAACUCUGUGCCAGCAGCCGCGGUAAGACAGAGGAUGCAAGCGUUAUCCGGAAUGAUUGGGCGUAAAGCGUCUGUAGGUUGUUUAAAAAGUAUUCUGUCAAAGAUUAGGGCUUAACCCUAGAUAGGCAGAAUAAACUUUUAAGCUAGAGUUUGGUAGAGGCAGAGGGAAUUCCCGGUGGAGCGGUGAAAUGCGUAGAUAUCGGGAGGAACACCAAAGGCGAAGGCACUCUGCUGGGCCAAUACUAACACUGAGAGACGAAAGCGAGGGGAGCAAAUGGGAUUAGAUACCCGAGUAGUCC